Molecule: ribosomal RNA, 547 nt
Filed under: uncultured Bacteroidota bacterium
Lineage: Bacteria; Pseudomonadati; Bacteroidota
Description: bacterial SSU rRNA
Rfam family: Bacterial small subunit ribosomal RNA
Source: RNAcentral
AUUGCUUGCAAUCCGCUGACGACCGGCGCACGGGUGCGUAACGCGUAUGCAACCUACCUUUUACAGGGGUAUAGUCAAGAGAAAUUUCGAAUAACACCCCAUACGAUCAUUUUUACACCUGUAAAGAUGAAGAAAACUCCGGUGGUAAAAGAUGGGCAUGCGUCCUAUUAGUUAGUUGGUGAGGUAACGGCUCACCAAGACCGCGAUAGGUAGGGGUCCUGAGAGGGAGAUCCCCCACACUGGUACUGAGACACGGACCAGACUCCUACGGGAGGCAGCAGUGAGGAAUAUUGGACAAUGGAGGCAACUCUGAUCCAGCCAUGCCGCGUGCAGGAAGACUGCCCUAUGGGUUGUAAACUGCUUUUAUACAGGAAGAAACCUUGGUACGUGUACCAAGCUGACGGUACUGUAAGAAUAAGGAUCGGCUAACUCCGUGCCAGCAGCCGCGGUAAUACGGAGGAUCCAAGCGUUAUCCGGAAUCAUUGGGUUUAAAGGGUCCGCAGGCGGUCUUUUAAGUCAGAGGUGAAAUCCUAUCGCUCAACGAUAG